This 644-nucleotide ribosomal RNA is filed under the name uncultured bacterium. RNAcentral's name for it is "bacterial SSU rRNA". It matches the Rfam family "Bacterial small subunit ribosomal RNA", at positions 212 to 847 of the family's 1533-position model. The record is from RNAcentral.
CUAUCACUCUGGGAUGGACCUGCGGUGCAUUAGCUAGUUGGUAAGGUAACGGCUUACCAAGGCGAUGAUGCAUAGCCGAGUUGAGAGACUGAUCGGCCACAAUGGAACUGAGACACGGUCCAUACUCCUACGGGAGGCAGCAGUAGGGAAUCUUCCACAAUGGGCGCAAGCCUGAUGGAGCAACACCGCGUGAGUGAAGAAGGGUUUCGGCUCGUAAAGCUCUGUUGUUGGAGAAGAACGUGCGUGAGAGUAACUGUUCACGCAGUGACGGUAUCCAACCAGAAAGUCACGGCUAACUACGUGCCAGCAGCCGCGGUAAUACGUAGGUGGCAAGCGUUAUCCGGAUUUAUUGGGCGUAAAGCGAGCGCAGGCGGUUGCUUAGGUCUGAUGUGAAAGCCUUCGGCUUAACCGAAGAAGUGCAUCGGAAACCGGGCGACUUGAGUGCAGAAGAGGACAGUGGAACUCCAUGUGUAGCGGUGGAAUGCGUAGAUAUAUGGAAGAACACCAGUGGCGAAGGCGGCUGUCUGGUCUGCAACUGACGCUGAGGCUCGAAAGCAUGGGUAGCGAACAGGAUUAGAUACCCUGGUAGUCCAUGCCGUAAACGAUGAGUGCUAGGUGUUGGAGGGUUUCCGCCCUUCAGUGCC